RNAcentral lists this ribosomal RNA (412 nucleotides) under uncultured Glomeromycotina. RNAcentral's name for it is "SSU rRNA". It matches the Rfam family "Eukaryotic small subunit ribosomal RNA", at positions 672 to 1082 of the family's 1831-position model. Lineage: Eukaryota; Fungi; Glomeromycota. The record is from RNAcentral.
GGUAUGCACUGGCUUCGCUGAUUCCUCCUUUCUGAAGAACUGUGAUGCCAUUAAUUUGGUGUUGCAGGGAAACAGGACUGUUACUUUGAAAAAAUUAGAGUGUUUAAAGCAGGCUAACGCUUGAAUACAUUAGCAUGGAAUAAUGAAAUAGGACGUUUGAUCCUAUUUUGUUGGUUUCUAGGAUUGACGUAAUGAUUAAUAGGGAUAGUUGGGGGCAUUAGUAUUCAAUUGUCAGAGGUGAAAUUCUUGGAUUUAUUGAAGACUAACUACUACGAAAGCAUUUGCCAAGGAUGUUUUCAUUAAUCAAGAACGAAAGUUAGGGGAUCGAAGACGAUCAGAUACCGUCGUAGUCUUAACCAUAAACUAUGCCGACUAGGGAUCGGAUGAUGUUAAUUUUUUAAUGACUCAUUCG